UACAGAGGGUGCAAGCGUUGUUCGGAAUCAUUGGGCGUAAAGGGCGCGUAGGCGGCCAAGCAAGUCGAAUGUGAAAGCCCAGGGCUCAACCUUGGAAGUGCAUCCGAAACUACUUGGCUUGAAUCUCGGAGAGGGUGGUGGAAUUCCCAGUGUAGAGGUGAAAUUCGUAGAUAUUGGGAGGAACACCGGUGGCGAAGGCGACCGCCUGGACGAAGAUUGACGCUGAGGCGCGAGAGCGUGGGGAGCAAACAGG
Molecule: ribosomal RNA, 253 nt
Filed under: uncultured bacterium
Lineage: Bacteria
Description: partial 16S ribosomal RNA
Rfam family: Bacterial small subunit ribosomal RNA
Source: RNAcentral